This 1335-nucleotide long non-coding RNA is filed under the name Bemisia tabaci. RNAcentral's name for it is "lncRNA ENSSSA1NGG007772". Lineage: Eukaryota; Metazoa; Arthropoda; Insecta; Hemiptera; Aleyrodidae. The record is from RNAcentral.
AAUUUCAAGUAUGUUAGGAUUGUUGAAAGUGAAUUACAAGAGGCAGUUAGCCAGCAGCAACGAGAUGAAGAAGGAAGAUCAGUUAAACAUAACACUGGCAGCAAACACCAAAUACCAGAUGUUUUUGUCCCGCCGCACUUGUAUUCACAACUUGUACAACAUGAGGAAGGCUUUAAACUGCUUCUAUCAGAACCAGGAUUCAAUGCACUCAUUCCCAUUCUGUUAGAAGGCAAAUGUGAUGCAGAUGAUGAAAUACUCCAUUUAAAAGCAUCAGUCUGGGCUUUAGGCCACUUCGGAACGUCUACUCAAGGUGCCAAAUAUUUAUUUGAUCAUGGUGCUGUCAUUGCAUUGAAGAAAUUAUUUUUGAAUGCACCUGUUUAUACUGUUCGUGCUACUGCAUAUUAUGCCAUGUCAAUGCUCGCAACUAAUAGGUCAGGUGUUGCUGCCCUUCACAGUGUAGGAUGGGAAUGUGUGCGCCAUGGUAGGAAUGAUCAGUGGCCUCUUGUUUCUCCGCCUCCUCACUCUGUAUUUUCACCUGUAUUAAGUCCAUCAUCGCCGGAACAAGGGUCAUUGGAGGAUUCAAAGUCUCCAGAAGACAGUACUCUGGUCGGAACCAUCUCCUGGAAUCAUUUUGGGAGGUGCUCAUCUUCUCAAACGGCAGCAACUCUCCCUAGCUCAACUAGUCAUCACCUUUCUGUUUUGAAAAAUGUUCACGUUAGGAGUCCAAGUGAAAGUAAAGCAGACAAUUGUGAAGAAUUAUUAGUAUUAAAACAAAUCUAUCAUGAAAGUGCAGAAAAAAUAACAGACGGGCCCGCAGAGUCUGAUGCAAAACUGCGAUUAGACAGUGUUUGCACAAACCCGAGUACCAAUAGCUCAUGUGAUUCCUCCAGCAGUAAAGAACAUAGUGUGGAACAUGCUCAAAAAGUUGCUCCAAAUGUAAGCUCUAGUCAUCUUGAAUCGUUUAGAUCAUUAAAAUCAUCAGUACCUCACCUGACUUUUGAUCAGAUUAAAUCAAGUCGAAGAGUACACCAUCAAAACAUUUUGGGCUAUAACACGCUGAAAUUGUUGAACUGGCACAGGAGACCUCACUUGAUUUCUUCUUCUUCGACCACAGCUGCUUUAGAGCUCUUCUCAAUCCAAGACUUGAAACAGAUGUCUCCUCUUGUUCGCCCAAAACUGUCAUCGAAACAUACUCCAAAGACAAUACUUGAAUCUGAUGAGUUUUAUCCAUUGAAUAAAAUAGAUUUUCUGCCAGCUGAGAGUUACCCAAGUAGUAGUGUAAAUUUGCCGUUUCACUUCUCUGAUGAUAACAACUCUAGUCAUGAUUUUAACUAG